GGAUCAUUAACGAAUAUAAUUCGAGGGGUUGUCGCUGGCCUCGCUCGCGCGAGGCAUGUGCACGCUUCUCGUUUUUCUCUCAACUCACCUGUGCACCUAAUGUAGGAUGCCUCUCCUCCGGGAGGGGGGACCUAUGUCUUCGUAACAUCUUCGUGUAGAAAGUCUUUGAAUGUUUUACUAUCAUCGAGUCGCGACUUCUAGGAGACGCGAUUCUUUGAGAUAAAAGUUAUUACAACUUUCAGCAACGGAUCUCUUGGCUCUCGCAUCGAUGAAGAACGCAGCGAAAAGCGAUAUGUAAUGUGAAUUGCAGAUCUACAGUGAAUCAUCGAAUCUUUGAACGCACCUUGCGCUCCUCGGUGUUCCGAGGAGCAUGCCUGUUUGAGUGUCAGUAAAUUCUCAACCCCUCUCGAUUAGCUUYGAGAGGGWGCUUGGAUAGUGGAGGUUGCCGGAGACUUGGAUUCGUCCGAGACUCGGGCUCUUCUGAAAUGCAUCGGCUUGCGGUCGACUUUCGACUAUGYGCGACAAGGCUUUCGGCGUGAUAAUGAUCGCCGUUCGCUGAAGCGCAUGACUGAAHGUCCCGUGCCUCUAAUAYGUCGACCGCUUAUUAUCUCUCCGGAGAGAACAGGGUCUUCCUUAUUGACUUUUGACCUCAAAUCAGGUAGGACUACCCGCUGAACUUAAGCAUAUCAAUAAGCGGAGGAAAAGAAACUAACAAGGAUUCCCCUAGUAACUGCGAGUGAAGAGGGAAAAGCUCAAAUUUUGAAUCUGGCGGUCUUUAGGCCG
RNAcentral lists this ribosomal RNA (783 nucleotides) under Rhizopogon salebrosus. Its description in RNAcentral is "eukaryotic LSU rRNA". The stretch from base 234 to 388 matches the Rfam family "5.8S ribosomal RNA". The record is from RNAcentral. Lineage: Eukaryota; Fungi; Basidiomycota; Agaricomycetes; Boletales; Rhizopogonaceae.